This 431-nucleotide ribosomal RNA is filed under the name uncultured bacterium. RNAcentral describes it as "partial 16S ribosomal RNA". It matches the Rfam family "Bacterial small subunit ribosomal RNA", at positions 29 to 507 of the family's 1533-position model. The record is from RNAcentral.
AACGAACGCUGGCGGCAGGCUUAACACAUGCAAGUCGAGCGCCCCGCAAGGGGAGCGGCAGACGGGUGAGUAACGCGUGGGAACGUACCUUUUGGUUCGGAACAACUCCGGGAAACUGGAGCUAAUACCGGAUAAGCCCUAACGGGGAAAGAUUUAUCGCCGAAAGAUCGGCCCGCGUCUGAUUAGCUAGUUGGUGAGGUAACGGCUCACCAAGGCGACGAUCAGUAGCUGGUCUGAGAGGAUGAUCAGUCACACUGGGACUGAGACACGGCCCAGACUCCUACGGGAAGCAGCAGUGGGGAAUAUUGGACAAUGGGCGCAAGCCUGAUCCAGCCAUGCCGCGUGAGUGAUGAAGGCCUUAGGGUUGUAAAGCUCUUUUGUCCGGGAAGAUAAUGACUGUACCGGAAGAAUAAGCCCCGGCUAACUUCGUG